GGAAGCGUGGCCGAGUGGUUGAAGGCACCAGUCUUGAAAACUGGCAUACGGGCAACCGUAUCGUGGGUUCGAAUCCCACCGCUUCCGCCA
RNAcentral lists this transfer RNA (90 nucleotides) under Geminicoccaceae bacterium. RNAcentral describes it as "tRNA-Ser". It matches the Rfam family "tRNA". Rfam says of the family: Transfer RNA (tRNA) molecules are approximately 80 nucleotides in length. Their secondary structure includes four short double-helical elements and three loops (D, anti-codon, and T loops). Further hydrogen bonds mediate the characteristic L-shaped molecular structure. tRNAs have two regions of fundamental functional importance: the anti-codon, which is responsible for specific mRNA codon recognition, and the 3' end, to which the tRNAs corresponding amino acid is attached (by aminoacyl-tRNA synthetases). tRNAs cope with the degeneracy of the genetic code in two manners: having more than one tRNA (with a specific anti-codon) for a particular amino acid; and 'wobble' base-pairing, i.e. permitting non-standard base-pairing at the 3rd anti-codon position. The record is from RNAcentral. Lineage: Bacteria; Pseudomonadati; Pseudomonadota; Alphaproteobacteria; Geminicoccales; Geminicoccaceae.